AACUUUCAGCAACGGAUCUCUUGGCUCUCGCAUCGAUGAAGAACGCAGCGAAAUGCGAUAAGUAAUGUGAAUUGCAGAAUUCAGUUAAUCAUCGAAUCUUUGAACGCACCUUGCGCUCCUUGGUAUUCCGAGGAGCAUGCCUGUUUGAGUGUCAUU
This 156-nucleotide ribosomal RNA is filed under the name Cortinarius paleaceus. Its description in RNAcentral is "5.8S ribosomal RNA". It matches the Rfam family "5.8S ribosomal RNA". Rfam says of the family: 5.8S ribosomal RNA (5.8S rRNA) is a component of the large subunit of the eukaryotic ribosome. It is transcribed by RNA polymerase I as part of the 45S precursor that also contains 18S and 28S rRNA. The record is from RNAcentral. Lineage: Eukaryota; Fungi; Basidiomycota; Agaricomycetes; Agaricales; Cortinariaceae.